Chroicocephalus ridibundus (black-headed gull) is the source of this 1832-nucleotide long non-coding RNA. RefSeq lists it as uncharacterized. Lineage: Eukaryota; Metazoa; Chordata; Aves; Charadriiformes; Laridae. The record is from RefSeq and is a predicted model, not a curated record. The transcript is spliced from 4 exons.
GCUGGACACCGUACUCCAGGUUGGUUCUCACGAGAGCAGAGCAGAGGGGUAGAAGAAGGUCGAUAUAGUUUUGCUAACAGGUGCAGCACAUGUUUACCUUGUUCUCCUGCGUCCUCUCGCUUCCCAUUUUCACCUUCCGCUGGGCACACCUUGCACGAUAAAAGGAUUCGUGUCCUCAGGUCCAGCGGCCAGCCGGGGUCAUUCCCACCCAUAUCAUGACAAAAGCCCAGCACUCUUGCUCUCCAAGGGAGAUUCGCAUCUGCGGAUGCUUGGCGUCACCGUGGAUUUCUCCUAACGUGCGUGGUUGGUCCAAGAGCAGCUCAGUUGGACAAGAUGAUCAUUCACCUCUAAGCGGGUCAUGAGGAUCAUGGAAGUGAGUUGGGUUAACCUGUGUUUGCGCGGCUGGGUAUCCAUGUGGGUGCUGGAUGCUUCUGCUCACCUUGUGACGAGAAACUCAAGUAUUGAACCACUUCUCGGCGGGCUUCGUGGUUGGCGUUGGCUCCUCUGGCCAGGGUUCUAGAGAAGUUCAGAGAAUCAUGGAAUUAUUGAAUGGUUUGGGCUGGAAGGGACCUGUGAAGGUCAUUUAGUCCAACCCCAUGCCAUGGGCAGGGAGGUCUUCAACGAGACCAGAUUGCUCAGAGCCCCGUCCAACCUGACCUGGAAUGUUUCCAGGGAUGGGGCAUCUCCCACCUCUCUGGGCAACCUGGGCCAGGGGCUCACCACCCUCAACAUAAAACGUUUCUUCUGGAACCGUAGAAUGGUUUGGGUGGGAAAGGACCUUUGAAGACCAUCGAGUCCAACUCCCUGCUGUGGGCAGGGAUGUCUUCAACUAGACCAGGUUGCUCAGAGCCGCAUCCAACCUGACCUUGAACCCCUCCAGGGAUGGGGCAUUGCAGAACAGAGAGCAGCGAUGCCCUUGGUCAGCCAGAACGUGACGGGCAUCUUUUCAGGACAUCCCUCUUCUCCGGUUGUGAUCUCUCAGCGUCCCCUUUUUGUCUGGAGAUUUGAUUUCCCCCAAACGGGCGACUGUCUCACUCGACUUCCUUUGGCUUGAGUUUUCCUUCCCGCUUCCCAGUGCCGCAGCGGGUCGGGUGCCGGCCGUGCCGGGUCUCGCCCCACCUGGCUGGGUGGGUUUGGCACCGGAGGAGAAAUUUAACAUGAUGCAGUUCGGAAACCCAUCUUCUGGGCUCGACGGGUGUGACGGGCUCCGUCUUUAAUUUCCAUUCGUUCCCCAUCCUCUGGUCCUGCUCAUUUAUCGCCGUCCAAACGAUAACGAUGCGAGCCAAGCUCUUGGGUGAUGAAUACGCAGAUAUUUUGAGACAACGUAGAGCAGAAAAUGCAUUUCCAGUCUAAAGCCGACAGCACCUCGAGGUUUAACUCCCCUUCCUCAUGCCGUUCUCAAAUAUUUUUGCGAAAAAAAUGUUCAUAUCUUGCAUUUCUUGCUCUAAGCCAGGGUGGAAGAUGAAAUCGGGGACAAAGCGCUGGGUCCUGUUUCUUUUUAAUAUCCUCUCCUCGAAUUCUCCGCCGCCCGCUGCAAAACAGGACUCCGGAUUAGACGGAUAUUUGUCUAACGCAGCCAAGUGCUUACGUAGAUCGUCAGACGCAAAAUACGGUUUACAUAACUGCAAAGAAACCCAUCUUUUAACUUUUAUUGGAAGCAGUGGCUGUAAUUAAGAGUAUGAAGCCUUGCAGGCCAGUGAUUAGAACAGAGGAUUAGGCGCUGGGAUUUCAUUUCUAUUCCUGGCUUUGCCAUCGAGCUGUGCUAUUUCAGUCGCCACUUUCCCUUAUUUUAAAAAUAAAAGCUAUACUGCUGUCCGGGCCGCCGUGAAACG